Molecule: ribosomal RNA, 854 nt
Filed under: Salmonella enterica
Lineage: Bacteria; Pseudomonadati; Pseudomonadota; Gammaproteobacteria; Enterobacterales; Enterobacteriaceae
Description: partial 23S ribosomal RNA
Rfam family: Bacterial large subunit ribosomal RNA
Source: RNAcentral
GGGUUGUGAGGUUAAGCGACUAAGCGUACACGGUGGAUGCCCUGGCAGUCAGAGGCGAUGAAGGGCGUGCUAAUCUGCGAUAAGCGCCGGUAAGGUGAUAUGAACCGUUAUAACCGGCGAUACCCGAAUGGGGAAACCCAGUGUGAUUCGUCACACUAUCAUUAACUGAAUCCAUAGGUUAAUGAGGCGAACCGGGGGAACUGAAACAUCUAAGUACCCCGAGGAAAAGAAAUCAACCGAGAUUCCCCCAGUAGCGGCGAGCGAACGGGGAGGAGCCCAGAGCCUGAAUCAGCAUGUGUGUUAGUGGAAGCGUCUGGAAAGGCGCGCGAUACAGGGUGACAGCCCCGUACACAAAAGCGCAUGUGCUGUGAGCUCGAUGAGUAGGGCGGGACACGUGGUAUCCUGUCUGAAUAUGGGGGGACCAUCCUCCAAGGCUAAAUACUCCUGACUGACCGAUAGUGAACCAGUACCGUGAGGGAAAGGCGAAAAGAACCCCGGCGAGGGGAGUGAAAAAGAACCUGAAACCGUGUACGUACAAGCAGUGGGAGCACCCUUUGGGGUGUGACUGCGUACCUUUUGUAUAAUGGGUCAGCGACUUAUAUUCUGUAGCAAGGUUAACCGUAUAGGGGAGCCGGAGGGAAACCGAGUCUUAACCGGGCGUUAAGUUGCAGGGUAUAGACCCGAAACCCGGUGAUCUAGCCAUGGGCAGGUUGAAGGUUGGGUAACACUAACUGGAGGACCGAACCGACUAAUGUUGAAAAAUUAGCGGAUGACCUGUGGCUGGGGGUGAAAGGCCAAUCAAACCGGGAGAUAGCUGGUUCUCCCCGAAAGCUAUUUAGGUAGCGCCUCGUGAA